UCUGCAGUCGAACGCUUUUUCUUUCACCGGAGCUUGCUCCACCGAAAGAAAAGGAGUGGCGAACGGGUGAGUAACACGUGGGUAACCUGCCCAUCAGAAGGGGAUAACACUUGGAAACAGGUGCUAAUACCGUAUAACAAUAGAAACCGCAUGGUUUCUAUUUGAAAGGCGCUUUUGCGUCACUGAUGGAUGGACCCGCGGUGCAUUAGCUAGUUGGUGAGGUAACGGCUCACCAAGGCAACGAUGCAUAGCCGACCUGAGAGGGUGAUCGGCCACAUUGGGACUGAGACACGGCCCAAACUCCUACGGGAGGCAGCAGUAGGGAAUCUUCGGCAAUGGACGAAAGUCUGACCGAGCAACGCCGCGUGAGUGAAGAAGGUUUUCGGAUCGUAAAACUCUGUUGUUAGAGAAGAACAAGGAUGAGAGUAAAAUGUUCAUCCCUUGACGGUAUCUAACCAGAAAGCCACGGCUAACUACGUGCCAGCAGCCGCGGUAAUACGUAGGUGGCAAGCGUUGUCCGGAUUUAUUGGGCGUAAAGCGAGCGCAGGCGGUUUCUUAAGUCUGAUGUGAAAGCCCCCGGCUCAACCGGGGAGGGUCAUUGGAAACUGGGAAACUUGAGUGCAGAAGAGGAGAG
Molecule: ribosomal RNA, 634 nt
Filed under: Enterococcus durans
Lineage: Bacteria; Bacillati; Bacillota; Bacilli; Lactobacillales; Enterococcaceae
Description: bacterial SSU rRNA
Rfam family: Bacterial small subunit ribosomal RNA
Source: RNAcentral